AAAGUAAAGGCAUAAGAGUAAAUGCAUGAAGUAAAGGCAUAAAAGUAAAUGACAUAAGGUAAUUUGCAAGAAUGUAAAGUAUUAGAGGUUUAUCAGUUAAAUGUUAGGUGUUAGCAUGUUAGAAGUCAAAGUCAACACAAUGGGAUCAUCUAUCAAUAAGUCAAAGGAAUCAAACAUAUGCCACACUAAAGGAUGGUCUAUUAUUA
Molecule: long non-coding RNA, 206 nt
Filed under: Lathyrus oleraceus (garden pea)
Lineage: Eukaryota; Viridiplantae; Streptophyta; Magnoliopsida; Fabales; Fabaceae
Description: Pisum sativum (pea) long non-coding RNA (PSAT_LNC009618)
Source: RNAcentral